UCUACAUAUGUGCUUGGUCUUUUCCGCGCACAACCAGUGGGUGCUAGCGGACAGGCCAGGCAGCGUUAGUCAGAUGGAGUCUAUUGGGUUCUAACAAAAAAACCCAUAGCUAAUUACAGAUGCACCCCCCCGCCACCAUCCCAUGGGCAGCAUGAUGUACUGGAAAGAAUAUGAAAUUCUGGGAUUAG
Long non-coding RNA from Neogale vison (American mink), 188 nucleotides. RefSeq lists it as uncharacterized. The record is from RefSeq and is a predicted model, not a curated record. The transcript has 3 exons. Lineage: Eukaryota; Metazoa; Chordata; Mammalia; Carnivora; Mustelidae.